Molecule: small nucleolar RNA, 107 nt
Filed under: Gossypium barbadense (sea-island cotton)
Lineage: Eukaryota; Viridiplantae; Streptophyta; Magnoliopsida; Malvales; Malvaceae
Also listed under: 2 other names
Description: Plant small nucleolar RNA R71
Rfam family: Plant small nucleolar RNA R71
About the family: R71 is a member of the C/D box family of snoRNAs containing the C (UGAUGA) and D (CUGA) box motifs.
Source: Rfam by way of RNAcentral
GGUCCAUGGUGAGGACACCUUCUCAACAAAUCCUUAAAUCUCUCCCAUGUAUCAUAAAGAGUCUAAAUAUCAAACUGAACAAUAGAAGAGAUAUCAUUCCUCAACUU